GAUCUUUGCGCAGCUCAGACACCUCUCACGGCUCUCAGCUUCCGGUUGUUGUUGGUCGAACACGUGUGUGAUGUGUAUCACAUAUAACGGCUAUGCGGGGAACUUGAGAUUGGCUACUUGUGCCAUGCCAACAACAAAUUUGGAGCAAGUGGAAGUUCUUUCCAUUGAGUGAGUGUAAAAUUUCUGGUGGUGGUGGUUUUUAAAAAUGUCAAAACUGCAGGCUUUCCUCUUUUGAAAAGUAUGUUGAGAACAUAGCCUGCAUCAGGAAGGUCCAGGAUAAGCAGGUGAUGGUAUGGAGGUGAUGGGAGAGGAGCAGGGAUAAAUUAAGCUGUUUAUGAGAAAGAUUGUCUACUCCUACAAAAUGCUCAUUUGUGACAAUGUUUUGCAUCUGAUACACUGUAUCAGUGUGGAUUAAGGUGAAAUGUAGGAAAUGGAGCAUUAAUUAAAUAGAACUGCACCUUACAAGUUUUUUGAUGCAGUGUGUUUUUGGUGUGGUUGAUGUCCCAAGAUGGCUUCGAGUAUCGUCAUAAGACUUGGGAUCCAAUUUCAAAAGAUACCAGCAUGUGGAAGAUGAAAACAUACAGGAUGUCAUGACCUGUAAAAGUUGUAAUGGGCUGCAGAAUUAGUGGCAGUUUGCUGUUGCUAAUGGGUAUUGUUUUCUGGGAAUACAAUGGACAAACAGAACAAGAUAAAUGAUUGUAGCCAAGUAGGCAUAUUGCCCAACCCUGAGCAACGAGAUAUGCUAGAAUUAUGAAACUUGUAUCAGUGAAUAGUGCCAUGGGAUCUUGUCAAACAAGUUGUGACAUUUGUAUAGAUAGGUGUGGUGUUCUGUCGGACGUGUGACAGAAGAGACAAUACUUAUGAUAAAGCAGCUAGUGCAUUUGUAGUUUCACAGACUAUACAUAAUCAAAACAGAAAAAAGGAAACAACUAUCACAUAUUCAGAAGUAUUGAUAGUGCUAGUGGUAGUAAUAAUAAUGAUUGCAGAUGAUAGUGCUGCCAUAAGUCAGCUUUCUGUGUUGUCUAGUGGCUUUACUUUGUGCCAUAUCACAAGGUAUGGAGUGCAAUGGGAUGUUCGAGGAACAGAGUGGUGAGUUCCAAUUGAUGUUCUGGCCCCCAACCAGAUCUGAUCCUGAUCGGACACAUAAGAUGUGACUGAACGUGGUGUCAGAGCUAGCCAUCUCCCUUCCUCAAAUUUACAGGAAUCUGGUGACUUGUAUGCAGAUGUGUCAACUCCCUCCAGCAA
Schistocerca cancellata (South American locust) is the source of this 1245-nucleotide long non-coding RNA. RefSeq lists it as uncharacterized. The transcript has 5 exons. NCBI's taxonomy places the organism in Eukaryota, Metazoa, Arthropoda, Insecta, Orthoptera, Acrididae. The record is from RefSeq and is a predicted model, not a curated record.